Molecule: ribosomal RNA, 508 nt
Filed under: uncultured bacterium
Lineage: Bacteria
Description: partial 16S ribosomal RNA
Rfam family: Bacterial small subunit ribosomal RNA
Source: RNAcentral
UGGGGAAUUUUGGACAAUGGGCGCAAGCCUGAUCCAGCAAUGCCGCGUGCAGGAUGAAGGCCUUCGGGUUGUAAACUGCUUUUGUACGGAACGAAAAGCCUCUCUCUAAUACAGGGGGGUGAUGACGGUACCGUAAGAAUAAGCACCGGCUAACUACGUGCCAGCAGCCGCGGUAAUACGUAGGGUGCAAGCGUUAAUCGGAAUUACUGGGCGUAAAGCGUGCGCAGGCGGUUUUGUAAGACAGUGGUGAAAUCCCCGGGCUCAACCUGGGAACUGCCAUUGUGACUGCAAGGCUGGAGUGCGGCAGAGGGGGAUGGAAUUCCGCGUGUAGCAGUGGAAUGCGUAGAUAUGCGGAGGAACACCGAUGGCGAAGGCAAUCCCCUGGGCCUGCACUGACGCUCAUGCACGAAAGCGUGGGGAGCAAACAGGAUUAGAUACCCUGGUAGUCCACGCCCUAAACGAUGUCAACUGGUUGUUGGGGAUUUAUUUCUUCAGUAACGAAGCUAAC